Long non-coding RNA from Daphnia carinata, 1502 nucleotides. RefSeq lists it as uncharacterized. The record is from RefSeq and is a predicted model, not a curated record. The transcript is spliced from 3 exons. NCBI's taxonomy places the organism in Eukaryota, Metazoa, Arthropoda, Branchiopoda, Diplostraca, Daphniidae.
AUUGUCUGUUUAAGUUUUUGAGUUUCAGUAAAAUGCAACAUUGCUAAAUGCCACCAAAUCGAGAGUUAAUGUCACGCAUGGCCUACUAUAGAUGUCACAUCACUGGUACUUAAUAGUAUUUUAGUUCCAAGAUGGCGGGCAACGUGUUCAGAGCUUACGUGUCCAAGAACAUUUUUAAGCCUACGCCACGCUCUUGAUAAUCACUAUUACAUAUUUCUUCGAACUGUACUUUGAAUGUCAAUGAUAAGGUUCCAAGGUAGGCCAAAAAAUCGUUAACAAUACCAGUAAUUGAAAUUUUACAACUGAACAUGUAUGUCGCGACAAUCUGGUAUCGCAAUUUGUACGAGAAGCUUUUGAACGCUGGAAAGCCGAAGUCAUUAAAAGACAGGGACGAACGUAACACAAUUUAAUUAAUUAUGUUACACUAAUGACAAUUGUUUCCACAGUGUUGUUUUCUUAUUUUAGGUAACAUACUGGCACACAAAAAUCAGGAACACAAAAAUCAUCUAAGUUGCCUAAGCUAAACAGGAAUUGGGAGUGAAGGGUGACACGGGUUGUAGUUUCUUGAAAACAUUAUUAAUAACAGCAAGAAAAUUUCCAAGUUUCAGGCUGUUCCAAGUUGUGCUGGAAACACCAUUUGUUGACACAAUGGAUCAAUUGUUGUGUGCACUCUUUCACACAAGUAUUAAAGAAAAAACCCUCAUUUUUCUUUCCUGAAGGAAGAGCAUGAUGAUUAGGAUUACCAUUUCAACGAGAGUUUGCAACUUCAGAUCUCACAGCCGAAAAAUAAUAAGCCUCCAUGAUGGCUUGGUAUUAUACCAGUAUUGGUACAUAUUCAACUCAUGAUGGUUGGCUGGUUAUAACAAACCAUGCUGCUGUGAAUGGGAAUUGGGACAAACUGGAUUUGCUGUGGAGGAAAAGCACACUAGAUGGCGAGUAAUGUGGAUAAAAAUCGCUACGCUAGAUGGCGAAUGCUGAGAUUGGAAAUCCCAGCUCUAAAUGGUGGUUGGAAACUCCAGUGGCGUUUCCUGUACUUGAAAAAAUCCACAUUAGAUGGCGAGUGCUGUGGUUCGAAAUCCCCACAUAAAAUGGCGAUUGGUAGUUGGUAUUCCUCUCACUAGAUGGCGGAGAAAGUAUUGUACUAGAGCAUUACGGUACAUUCCGGUGUCUGGGAACAUCAGUGUACCGACGUCACUUACCCAUGUCAUGUAAUUGAAUACGCUGCAUUCGGGUACAAGAUCUAUUGGACCGUAACACGUGAAGUUCUACGGGUUUCUACAGUCAUGAGUACUCAUCGCAUUCUUUAAACCCAAGUGUGCUAGUACAGUUUUCGUUUUAAACAUCAGUUCUUUAACUGCGGUGGAAAUGGGACUUCGGCGGUGGAACGUCGUUAUCAAGAUAAAUAGUUAGAAGCGCUGUUUGAACUGUAUGAAUUAAUAUUAUCCAUAGGCAAUCAGAUGUCUAAAAUUGAAUUGAUUCAUAUACAUUUUAUUAUUAAGGCA